AAAAUUGGAUACUUUUAUAUUUUCUCCUAACAGAUAUAAAUACUUAUUUUCAGAAACUUGUGAAAAAUUCUUAUGAUAAAAAUGAAAUCGAUUCAAGUUUUGAGGUUGAUUAUUUUUGCAUCCGUUUUCAUCCUGAUUUCCCUGAUUGAUAAGAUUGAUUCGCAAGGGCUUGGAGAGGAGUGCACAAUUCUCAUGACAAUGCAGAUGGAGGGAACAAUUUGCUCGGACUUUUGUGCCGAUGAUGGCUUCGACCUGCACCAAGGGCCUGGGGAGUGCUAUGCUGGAUUACAAUGUUGUAAUUACCAACCUUGAUGCAGAAUUUAUUUAAUUGAUGGAAUAUCUCUGAUUUAACAUUUUACUUCUCUUUGCAUGAAAAACGAUUGUUAAUAAAAAGUUUAAUACUGUA
Long non-coding RNA from Folsomia candida, 406 nucleotides. RefSeq lists it as uncharacterized. The record is from RefSeq and is a predicted model, not a curated record. NCBI's taxonomy places the organism in Eukaryota, Metazoa, Arthropoda, Collembola, Entomobryomorpha, Isotomidae. The transcript is spliced from 2 exons.